This is a non-coding RNA of Arachis ipaensis, 323 nucleotides long. NCBI's taxonomy places the organism in Eukaryota, Viridiplantae, Streptophyta, Magnoliopsida, Fabales, Fabaceae. The record is from RefSeq and is a predicted model, not a curated record.
UAAUUUUGUUAGACUUCUAGCAAUUUCUUGUUCAAAUAUUAGCAUUUCUAUACAAUGUUAGCAUAUUGUAUUUGAAAAUUUAGUGAAAUUUGGUAUGUUGUAUGUACUGAAGUGUGACCCUUCUCACUAUGUGAUCAGCCCCAUCAACUGGAUAUUACAAAUUUGUUUGCUGUAGUGGUUCAGGCUUGCCAUGACAAGGUUCCUACAAAAGUAAUCCACGGGCCACUAGUUGAUGAGAUUCAUCAAGAGUUUAGCUCUUGGAUUUACCAAGUUAUUAGGCUUUACAAAGACGAAGACCAUGCUAAAGUUGAAUACACUAUAAG